RNAcentral lists this ribosomal RNA (426 nucleotides) under uncultured bacterium. RNAcentral describes it as "bacterial SSU rRNA". It matches the Rfam family "Bacterial small subunit ribosomal RNA", at positions 354 to 796 of the family's 1533-position model. The record is from RNAcentral.
GUCGGGAAUAUUGCUCAAUGGGCGAAAGCCUGAAGCAGCAACGCCGCGUGUACGAUGAAGGCCUUCGGGUUGUAAAGUACUUUUCGAGAGGAUGAGGAAGGACAGUACUCUCGGAAUAAGCCACGGCAAACUACGUGCCAGCAGCCGCGGUAAAACGUAGGUGGCGAGCGUUAUCCGGAUUUACUGGGCGUAAAGCGCGUGCAGGUGGUUUGGCAAGUCGGGCAUUAAAUCUCUGGGCUUAACCCAGAGGCGCUGUCCGAUACUGCUAAGCUUGAGGACGGUAGAGGGCGAUGGAAUUCCGCGUGUAGUGGUGAAAUGCGUAGAUAUGCGGAGGAACACCAGUGGCGAAAGCGGUCGCCUGGACCGAACCUGACACUAAAGCGCGAAAGCUAGGGUAGCGAACGGGAUUAGAUACCCGAGUAGUCC